GAUGAACGCUGGCGGCGUGCCUAAUACAUGCAAGUCGAGCGAACGGACGAGAAGCUUGCUUCUCUGAUGUUAGCGGCGGACGGGUGAGUAACACGUGGAUAACCUACCUAUAAGACUGGGAUAACUUCGGGAAACCGGAGCUAAUACCGGAUAAUAUUUUGAACCGCAUGGUUCAAAAGUGAAAGACGGUCUUGCUGUCACUUAUAGAUGGAUCCGCGCUGCAUUAGCUAGUUGUUAAGGUAACGGCUUACCAAGGCAACGAUGCAUAGCCGACCUGAGAGAGGGAUAGGCCACACUGGAACUGAGACACGGUCAAGACUCCUAAGGGAGGGAGCAGUAGGGAAACUUCCGCAAUGGGGGAAAGCCUGACGGAGCAACGCCGCGUGAGUGAUGAAGGUCUUCGGAGCGUAAAACUCUGUUAUUAGGGAAGAACAUAUGUGUAAGUAACUGUGCACAUCUUGACGGUACCUAAUCAGAAAGCCACGGCUAACUACGUG
This 497-nucleotide ribosomal RNA is filed under the name uncultured bacterium. RNAcentral's name for it is "partial 16S ribosomal RNA". It matches the Rfam family "Bacterial small subunit ribosomal RNA", at positions 28 to 507 of the family's 1533-position model. The record is from RNAcentral.